This 107-nucleotide small nuclear RNA is filed under the name Phocoena sinus (vaquita). Lineage: Eukaryota; Metazoa; Chordata; Mammalia; Artiodactyla; Phocoenidae. RNAcentral also lists the same sequence under 1 other name. The record is from RNAcentral.
GUGCUCACUUCAGCGGCACAUAUACUAAAAUUGGAACCAUACAGAGAAGAUUAGCAUGGCCCCUGUGCAAGGACGACACACAAAUUCAUGAAGCGUUCCGUAUUUUU